This 341-nucleotide long non-coding RNA is filed under the name Macaca mulatta (Rhesus monkey). RNAcentral's name for it is "lncRNA (ENSMMUG00000055674.1)". The record is from RNAcentral. Lineage: Eukaryota; Metazoa; Chordata; Mammalia; Primates; Cercopithecidae.
AACAUUCAAGUGGUGAUAUCAAGAAGUCAACUAAAUGUAAGAACUGGGAAUCUGAAGAGAGUUUAUAUAAAUAAGAGAUUCUUCAGCGUUUACAAAAUAAGCCUUGAAGAGAGAAAAUAUUCAACUCUGGAAAAUGUGAUGAAAAAUGUACUUGUCCAUUCAAAAUCUGGUUGCUGUGUUGAAAACUGGCUGAAAAGAGGGACAACUGGAUGCAAUUUCCUCAGAAAGAACAAGGAAAUGGGAACCUGAGUUCAGGUAGUUGGAUUAUUCUUGGAGACUAGGAACAGCUCAUGUACUUGAUAAAAUAAUGUCUCGAUAUGGAAGGAUUUAGUUUUUUCUCU